GGGUGAUGAUGUAGCUGACCUAUCAUGGAGGAGCAGGAUGAUGAUGUAGCUGACCUAUCAGGGAGGAGCAGGAGUCAUGAUGUAGCUGACCUAUCAUGGAGGAGCAGGGGUGAUGAUGUAGCUGACCUAUCAGGGAAGAGCAGGAGUGAUGAUGUAGCUGACCAAUCAUGGAGGAGCAGGAUGAUGAUGAAGCUGACCUAUCAUGGAUGAGCAGGAUGAUGAUGUAGCUGACCUGUCAUGGAGGAGCAGGAUGAUGUUGUAGCUAAUCUAUCAUGGAGUAGCAGGAUGAUGAUGUAGCUGACCUAUAAAGGAGGAGCAGGGUGAUGAUGUAGCUGACCUAUCAUGGAGGAGCAGGAGUGAUGAUGUAGCUGACCUAUCAUGGAGGACGAGAAUGAAGUAGCUGACCAAUCAUGGAGGAGCAGGGGUGAUGAUGUUGCUGACCUAUCAUGGACGAGCAGGGGUGAUGAUGUAGCUGACCUAUCAUGGAGGAGCAGAAUGAUGUAGCUGACCUAUCAUGGAGGAGAGGGGUGAUGAUGUAGCUGACCUAUCAUGGAGGAGCAGGAUAAUGAUGUAGCUGACCUAUCAUGGAGGAGCAGGGGUGAUGAUGUAGCUGACCUAUCAUGGAGGAGCAGGGGAGAUGAUGUAGCUGACCUAUCAUGGAGGAGCAGGAUGAUGAUGUAGCUGACCUAUCGUGGAGGAGCAGGAUGAUGAUGUAGCUGACCUAUCAUGGAGGAGCAGGGGUGAAAAUGUAGCUGACCUAUCAUGGAGGAGCAGGGGUGGUGAUGUAGCUGACCUAUCAUGGAGGAGCAGGAUGAUGAUGUAGCUGACCUAUCAUGGAGGAGCAGGGUGAUGAUGUAGCUGACCUAUCAUGGAGGAGAAGGAUGAUGAUGUAGCUGACCUAUCAUGGAGGAGCAGGAUGAUGAUGUAACUGACCUAUCAUGGAGGAGCAGGGGUGAUGAUGUAGCUGACCUAUCAUGGAGGAGCAGGAUGAUGAUGUAGCUGACCUAUCAUGGAGGAGCAGGAUGAUGAUGUAGCUGACCUAUCAUGGAGGAG
Molecule: long non-coding RNA, 1053 nt
Filed under: Salmo salar (Atlantic salmon)
Lineage: Eukaryota; Metazoa; Chordata; Actinopteri; Salmoniformes; Salmonidae
Description: lncRNA (ENSSSAG00000116180.1)
Source: RNAcentral